CACAGCAGCCCAAAGUACCUUUCAAAAUAGCCUUAUACAUUUAGUAUAGUUUUCCAAAGUAGGGUUUCAAACCCUUUGAUUCUAUCCAGCAGCCACUCCCACCCCUUUCCCUUCUUGGGUUAAUUCCAAGGCGUGUUCAUACCUAAAUCACAAUGAUUUCACUAUUUUCAAAAAAAUCAUUCUCUCUCACCUCUGCCAUAAAAUUUGUUCAAGCUAAAAGCCCAUUUUUUUUUUGAAGAAAUCUACACUUUUCAGAGAUAGGACUUUUUUUUUUCAAACGGAUCUUUCAGAGUCAAAGCCUCACCCAUGACCUUCUUUAUUGUAUUCAAAUUUCAAAUCUGAAAACCCUAAUUUUUGCCUAUAAAUAUCUCUUUAUGUUUCAGCCGAAAAGGGGGUUUUUAGAACAAAAAAAAUCUCUCAACUCUUGUCUAUCUACUUUAGUUAUUUAUAAGUUUUAAUUCUCAUUUUAUUGGGGAAGUGGUAGUGGAUCUAAGACCUCAAAGCCUCGUUCAUUGCUCCCGUGGAAGGAAAAGAUGCCCGGAGAGCAUAAAAGAGCAAAAUGGAUCAAAAUGGACCAAAAUAGAGCAAAACAAGCCAAGUAGCUGAAAUGAGUGAUUGGAAGAAACCAAGUGAAAAGAAAGUCAAAAAGAGGUCAAACUGGACAUUUUUGCAAAACUAUCAAAACUGGACAGUUUUGCAAAAACGGGACAGAUUUGCAAAACUGUCAAAAGUGGACAGUUUUGCAAAAACGGGCAGAAUUGCAAAAACAGAAAUACGGGGGCAGAUUUUGACAUUUUUUGGACUUGAAAAAAUUGGGGGGAGCUACAAAAGAGAGGCUAGGGCAAAACAUUAUCAUCUUUGGUCAUUUUGCAAGUUUUGGAGGCUAGGGUUUUUCUACAAUAUUGGAGGAGAAGAUUGGAAGCACUUCAAUGAGAUAUUUCUUAAUCCUUUCUUCAAUUCCUUGUUUUGUAUUGCAUAUCUAAGUGUGUAGUAUUUAUUCCAUUACUUGAAUCUUGAUUGUGAAACUAUUCUUGAUUAAAGUUUGGAUUGAAACUUUUGUUUUGCUUAUGUAUUGAAUGAUUUUUAUUGCUA
Lycium barbarum (goji berry) is the source of this 1092-nucleotide long non-coding RNA. RefSeq lists it as uncharacterized. The record is from RefSeq and is a predicted model, not a curated record. Lineage: Eukaryota; Viridiplantae; Streptophyta; Magnoliopsida; Solanales; Solanaceae. The transcript is spliced from 2 exons.